UUUUAUGAGAGUUUGAUCCUGGCUCAGGACGAACGCUGGCGGCGUGCCUAAUACAUGCAAGUCGAACGCUUCUUUUUCCACCGGAGCUUGCUCCACCGGAAAAAGAGGAGUGGCGAACGGGUGAGUAACACGUGGGUAACCUGCCCAUCAGAAGGGGAUAACACUUGGAAACAGGUGCUAAUACCGUAUAACAAUCGAAGCCGCAUGGUUUUGAUUUGAAAGGCGCGUUCGGGUUUCGCUGAUGGAUGGACCCGCGGUGCAUUAGCUAGUUGGUGAGGUAACGGCUCACCAAGGCCACGAUGCAUAGCCGACCUGAGAGGGUGAUCGGCCACAUUGGGACUGAGACACGGCCCAAACUCCUACGG
Molecule: ribosomal RNA, 365 nt
Filed under: Enterococcus faecium
Lineage: Bacteria; Bacillati; Bacillota; Bacilli; Lactobacillales; Enterococcaceae
Description: bacterial SSU rRNA
Rfam family: Bacterial small subunit ribosomal RNA
Source: RNAcentral